AAGCCCUUGCUAUGGUGUGGUGUGUGGAAACGCCCCAAAUGUUAUUCGUAACAUAGGACACCUAAAGCAAGGGCUUUU
RNAcentral lists this non-coding RNA (78 nucleotides) under unclassified sequences. The record is from RNAcentral.